RNAcentral lists this unclassified non-coding RNA (329 nucleotides) under soil metagenome. RNAcentral describes it as "partial contains 5.8S ribosomal RNA, internal transcribed spacer 2, and large subunit ribosomal RNA". The stretch from base 1 to 120 matches the Rfam family "5.8S ribosomal RNA", at positions 35 to 154 of the family's 154-position model. The record is from RNAcentral.
GAUGAAGAACGUAGCGAAAUGCGAUAAGUAAUGUGAAUUGCAGAAUUCAGUGAAUCAUCGAAUCUUUGAACGCGCAUUGCGUCCAUUGGUAUUCCGAGGGGCAUGCCUGUUCGAGCGUCAUUAUAACCCCUCAAGCUCAGCUUGGUGUUGGGGCCUGCUGCACUGGCAGCCCUUAAAAUCAGUGGCGGCGCCAUCUGGCUCUAAGCGUAGUAAUUCUUCUCGCUAUGGAGUCCUGGUGGAUGCUUGCCAUCAACCCCCAAUUUUUCUAUGGUUGACCUCGGAUCAGGUAGGGAUACCCGCUGAACUUAAGCAUAUCAAUAAGCGGAGGA